Molecule: ribosomal RNA, 474 nt
Filed under: uncultured bacterium
Lineage: Bacteria
Description: partial 16S ribosomal RNA
Rfam family: Bacterial small subunit ribosomal RNA
Source: RNAcentral
UGGGGAAUAUUGCACAAUGGGCGCAAGCCUGAUGCAGCCAUGCCGCGUGUGUGAAGAAGGCCUCGGGUUGUAAAGCACUUUCAGCGAGGAGGAAGGUGGUGAACUUAAUACGUUCAUCAAUUGACGUUACUCGCAGAAGAAGCACCGGCUAACUCCGUGCCGGCAGCCGCGGUAAUACGGAGGGUGCAAGCGUUAAUCGGAAUUACUGGGCGUAAAGCGCACGCAGGCGGUUUGUUAAGUCAGAUGUGAAAUCCCCGGGCUCAACCUGGGAACUGCAUUUGAAACUGGCAAGCUAGAGUCUCGUAGAGGGGGGUAGAAUUCCAGGUGUAGCGGUGAAAUGCGUAGAGAUCUGGAGGAAUACCGGUGGCGAAGGCGGCCCCCCUGGACGAAGACUGACGCUCAGGUGCGAAAAGGCGUGGGGGAGCAAACAGGAUUAGAUACCCCUGGUAGGUCCACGCUGUAAAACGAUGUCGA